AUGUUGCAAUAUGAUUUUUCUUGUUUCAAACUAGCAUUUAACACGGAGAGCCUGUUGACCAAGAUGAGGACUUCUCACUCUCAAAAGGUUUCUACAAUAUGUUUCCGAAUGCUAAAGGGCAACAACAAGGAUCUAAGUCUUGUACCAUUCUUGUAACAUUUGUCAGAUACUAAUCUUAUUCCUGGAUCAAUCAAGUACUUUUUCAUUCCCAUUAUUUUAUUGUUUGGUCUGUUUUUGGCAUUCCUUCUGUUUCAUUUUUACUAUGUAAUACACUUGUCUAAUGCUGUUGACUAAAAACUUUAGACCUAUGCUACUCAAACUGUGAUCAUCAAAUACGGAUAUGCAGAUGACAAAGGUAGUGAAGUUGCUGCUGCAGUUCUUCUUUCAAGGUGAGAUCACAUCUUUGAAAGGUUUUGAAGCCAUUGACAAGCAGCCAGAGCCAAGUCUAUUUGCCCUGGAACCUGCUAGUGCCUACCAUAGUACCUACCAUAGUACCUUGUAGGUAAGACAUGGGGCAAGAUGCCCUGCUCAAAGAAGAAAUGCCUGUGUAUAUCGAUCAAACUUAUUCCCUUUUCACACUUUUGUUCUAUUUUAAGUGAUGCAUUGCCCAGCCGUAUCUCCAUAGUGAUAUAUACUAAAUGUUCACCGUUUUCCUGCAAAUGAGCUUUCAACAUGUGAUCUCGACAUUCUUAAGUAACAGUCAGAUUGUAUUGCCGUAUCAAAAUAGAAAGUUCUGAAA
This is a long non-coding RNA of Gossypium arboreum, 739 nucleotides long. RefSeq lists it as uncharacterized. The transcript has 3 exons. The record is from RefSeq and is a predicted model, not a curated record. Lineage: Eukaryota; Viridiplantae; Streptophyta; Magnoliopsida; Malvales; Malvaceae.